RNAcentral lists this ribosomal RNA (406 nucleotides) under uncultured bacterium. Its description in RNAcentral is "partial 16S ribosomal RNA". It matches the Rfam family "Bacterial small subunit ribosomal RNA", at positions 28 to 526 of the family's 1533-position model. The record is from RNAcentral.
GAUGAACGCUAGCUACAGGCUUAACACAUGCAAGUCGAGGGACCGGCGCACGGGUGAGUAACACGUAUCCAACCUGACAUUUACUCGGGGAUAGACUUUCGAACGAAAGAUUAAUACCCGAUAUAAAGGAUGGGGAUGCGUUCCAUUAGGUUGUUGGUGAGGUAACGGCUCACCAAGCCUUCGAUGGAUAGGGGUUCGGAGAGGAAGGUCCCCCACAUUGGAACUGAGACACGGUCCAAACGCCUACGGGAGGCAGCAUUGAUGAAUAUUGGUCAAGGGGCGCUAGCCUGAACCAGCCAAGUAGCGUGAAGGAUGAAUGCUUAUGGGUCGUAAACUUCUUUUAUAGAAGAAUAUGUAUUAUAUGAAUAAGGAUCGGCUAACUCCGUGCCAGCAGCCGCGGUAAUUC